This 347-nucleotide ribosomal RNA is filed under the name uncultured bacterium. RNAcentral describes it as "partial 16S ribosomal RNA". It matches the Rfam family "Bacterial small subunit ribosomal RNA", at positions 338 to 682 of the family's 1533-position model. The record is from RNAcentral.
CCUACGGGUGGCAGCAGUGAGGAAUAUUGGUCAAUGGACGGAAGUCUGAACCAGCCAUGCCGCGUGCAGGAAGACGGCUCUAUGAGUGGUAAACUGCUUUUGUACAAGGGUAAACCGGAAUACGUGUAUGCAGCUGAAAGUACGGUACGAAUAAGGAUCGGCUAACUCCGUGCCAGCAGCCGCGGUAAUACGGAGGAUCCAAGCGUUAUCCGGAUUUAUUGGGGUUAAAGGGUGCGUAGGCGGAUUGCUAAGUUAGAGGUGAAAGUUCCGCGCUUACCACGGGAACGGCCUCUAAUACUGUUGUUCUAGAGCUUCGUUGCGGUAGGCGGACUGUCUGGUGUAGCGGU